This 72-nucleotide transfer RNA is filed under the name Ovis aries (sheep). It matches the Rfam family "tRNA". From Rfam's summary of the family: Transfer RNA (tRNA) molecules are approximately 80 nucleotides in length. Their secondary structure includes four short double-helical elements and three loops (D, anti-codon, and T loops). Lineage: Eukaryota; Metazoa; Chordata; Mammalia; Artiodactyla; Bovidae. The record is from Rfam by way of RNAcentral.
UCCCUGGUGGCUCAGACGGUAAAGUGUCUGCCUGCAAUGCUGGAGACCUGGGUUUGAUUCCUGGCUUGGGAA